This is a non-coding RNA of Paramuricea clavata, 76 nucleotides long. The record is from the annotation of a GenBank genome assembly. NCBI's taxonomy places the organism in Eukaryota, Metazoa, Cnidaria, Anthozoa, Malacalcyonacea, Plexauridae.
GACCGCGCGUAGCUCAGUCGGCGGAGCGUUGGGCUGGUAUUACAAAGGUCGUAGGUUUCGAAUCCCACCGUGGUCA